UGGGAUGUAGCUCAGUGAUAAAGUGCUUGCCUAGCAUGCAGGAGGCCCUGGAUUCAAUCCCCAGCACUGCAG
Molecule: transfer RNA, 72 nt
Filed under: Marmota marmota marmota (Alpine marmot)
Lineage: Eukaryota; Metazoa; Chordata; Mammalia; Rodentia; Sciuridae
Also listed under: 1 other name
Rfam family: tRNA
About the family: Transfer RNA (tRNA) molecules are approximately 80 nucleotides in length. Their secondary structure includes four short double-helical elements and three loops (D, anti-codon, and T loops).
Source: Rfam by way of RNAcentral